This 485-nucleotide long non-coding RNA is filed under the name Marmota monax (woodchuck). The record is from RNAcentral. Lineage: Eukaryota; Metazoa; Chordata; Mammalia; Rodentia; Sciuridae.
GUCCAGAUGGCAGAGAAUAUGCUCCCCAAUUCAAUUGAGUGGGCUGUCUCUGUUGCUGGCAUUCCACAAUCCAUCACUGAGUGUGUCAAACAGAUCUGAGUGGUCAUGCUGGUGUCCCCCAUGAAGGGUGUGACCAUCCCAAGCCUUUAAGUUCUCCAGUCAUCUUUACAAGUGGUCAGGACAGGUACAGCACAGGCAGUGACAGGGAGGAGUUUCCCCAUAUCACCCCAUCCAUGUUCCUCAGCCCUGACCUGGAGGAACAUCUCAGGAGGCCUACACCAUUCAAGAACAGUAUGACCCUCCACAUCCAGUUGGCAAUGCAAUAGUCUGAUUUUCCUGUGGCAUGUGGCAAUAAUACAUUCAGUGACAUUGAAUUCAGCUCUCAAGAGGUGAGAGGCUAUUGGGGAUUUGGAUGCAUCUGCUCAGACUAUUUCUCAAGAAGUCACCGUUCCAGAUGAUUUGACUGGCUGUAUCGUUGAGCAUUA